This 540-nucleotide ribosomal RNA is filed under the name Escherichia coli EC1865. RNAcentral's name for it is "bacterial LSU rRNA". It matches the Rfam family "Bacterial large subunit ribosomal RNA", at positions 1 to 582 of the family's 2925-position model. The record is from RNAcentral. Lineage: Bacteria; Pseudomonadati; Pseudomonadota; Gammaproteobacteria; Enterobacterales; Enterobacteriaceae.
UUAAGCGACUAAGCGUACACGGUGGAUGCCCUGGCAGUCAGAGGCGAUGAAGGACGUGCUAAUCUGCGAUAAGCGUCGGUAAGGUGAUAUGAACCGUUAUAACCGGCGAUUUCCGAAUGGGGAAACCCAGUGUGUUUCGACACACUAUCAUUAACUGAAUCCAUAGGUUAAUGAGGCGAACCGGGGGAACUGAAACAUCUAAGUACCCCGAGGAAAAGAAAUCAACCGAGAUUCCCCCAGUAGCGGCGAGCGAACGGGGAGCAGCCCAGAGCCUGAAUCAGUAUGUGUGUUAGUGGAAGCGUCUGGAAAGGCGCGCGAUACAGGGUGACAGCCCCGUACACAAAAAUGCACAUGCUGUGAGCUCGAUGAGUAGGGCGGGACACGUGGUAUCCUGUCUGAAUAUGGGGGGACCAUCCUCCAAGGCUAAAUACUCCUGACUGACCGAUAGUGAACCAGUACCGUGAGGGAAAGGCGAAAAGAACCCCGGCGAGGGGAGUGAAAAAGAACCUGAAACCGUGUACGUACAAGCAGUGGGAGCAC